RNAcentral lists this ribosomal RNA (577 nucleotides) under uncultured bacterium. RNAcentral describes it as "partial 16S ribosomal RNA". It matches the Rfam family "Bacterial small subunit ribosomal RNA", at positions 355 to 923 of the family's 1533-position model. The record is from RNAcentral.
UGGGGAAUUUUGGACAAUGGGCGAAAGCCUGAUCCAGCAAUGCCGCGUGUGUGAAGAAGGCCUUCGGGUUGUAAAGCACUUUUGUCCGGAAAGAAAUCCUUGGCUCUAAUACAGUCGGGGGAUGACGGUACCGGAAGAAUAAGCACCGGCUAACUACGUGCCAGCAGCCGCGGUAAUACGUAGGGUGCAAGCGUUAAUCGGAAUUACUGGGCGUAAAGCGUGCGCAGGCGGUUUGCUAAGACCGAUGUGAAAUCCCCGGGCUCAACCUGGGAACUGCAUUGGUGACUGGCAGGCUAGAGUAUGGCAGAGGGGGGUAGAAUUCCACGUGUAGCAGUGAAAUGCGUAGAGAUGUGGAGGAAUACCGAUGGCGAAGGCAGCCCCCUGGGCCAAGUACUGACGCUCAUGCACGAAAGCGUGGGGAGCAAACAGGAUUAGAUACCCUGGUAGUCCCACGCCCUAAACGAUGUCAACUAGUUGUUGGGGAUUCAUUUCCUUAGUAACGUAGCUAACGCGUGAAGUUGACCGCCUGGGGAGUACGGUCGCAAGAUUAAAACUCAAAUGAAUUGACGGGGUCAUA